UCUCCCUCUCUCUCUACCUCUCCCUCGAUUUCUCCCUCUCCUUCCCUCUCUCUCCCUCCAUCCAUCUCUCUCCUCUCUUUCUCCAUCCAUCUCUUCCUCUCUCCCUCUCUCCAUCUCUCCCUCUCUCUCUCCCUCCAUCCAUCUCUCUCCUCUCUUUCUCUCUCUUCCUCCAUCCAUCUCUUCCUCUCUCUCCCUCUCUCUCCCUCCAUCCAUCUCUCUCCUCUCUUUCUCCAUCCAUCUCUCUCCCUCUCUCUCUACCUCUCCCUCUAUCUCUUUCUCUCUCUCCCUCUCUCUCUCUCUCUCUCUCUCUCUCUCUCUCUCUCCCUCCUCUUUCUAUAUUCCCUCCCAAGCUGUGUUGGUGUGAUUGACACACUGCAUGCAUGUUGUUGAAUGUUGUGUGUGUGUGUGUGUGUGUGUGAAUGUGUUAUUAGUGUGUGUGUGUGAAGGGGUGU
Clupea harengus (Atlantic herring) is the source of this 452-nucleotide long non-coding RNA. Lineage: Eukaryota; Metazoa; Chordata; Actinopteri; Clupeiformes; Clupeidae. The record is from Ensembl.